CGGACUUGACAUGCAGGUGGUACCGCGGCGAAAGCCAAGGGACCCGCAAGGGAGCCUGUGCAGGUGCUGCACGGCUGUCGUCAGCUCGUGCCGUGAGGUGUUGGGUUAAGUCCCGCAACGAGCGCAACCCCUGCCGUCAGUUACCAAGUCUGGCGGGACCGCCGGGACUAACCCGGAGGAAGGUGGGGAUGACGUAGACCUUGGACC
This 207-nucleotide unclassified non-coding RNA is filed under the name uncultured bacterium. Its description in RNAcentral is "contains 16S-23S intergenic spacer region". It matches the Rfam family "Bacterial small subunit ribosomal RNA", at positions 976 to 1201 of the family's 1533-position model. The record is from RNAcentral.